RNAcentral lists this ribosomal RNA (253 nucleotides) under uncultured bacterium. RNAcentral describes it as "partial 16S ribosomal RNA". It matches the Rfam family "Bacterial small subunit ribosomal RNA", at positions 524 to 776 of the family's 1533-position model. The record is from RNAcentral.
UACAGAGGGGGCAAGCGUUGUUCGGAAUUACUGGGCGUAAAGGGCGCGCAGGCGGCCUUCUAAGUCGAACGUGAAAUCCCCGGGCUCAACCCGGGAACUGCGUCCGAUACUGGAAGGCUUGAAUCCGGGAGAGGGAUGCGGAAUUCCAGGUGUAGCGGUGAAAUGCGUAGAUAUCUGGAGGAACACCGGUGGCGAAGGCGGCAUCCUGGACCGGCAUUGACGCUGAGGCGCGAAAGCCAGGGGAGCAAACGGG